AAGUCGUAACAAGGUUUCCUUCACCUAUUGAAGCCUUCAGCAGCGACUGUAAAAAAAAUGCGUAGUUUGCUUGCAAGCAAUGCCACUCAAAUGCUGAGACAUAUGAAUCAGCAGCCUUCUAGGCUCACAGAUCAAAUUGUGGUAACCAUUUUCAUGGGCAAGAUAUGACCGGUCUUAACUAGAGUUAGUUAAGAAUCCACGUUCCGUAGGUGAACCUGCGGAAGGAUCAUUACCGAGUUAGGGUCUUAUAGGCCCGACCUCCAACCCUUUGUUUACUACACCAUGUUGCUUUGGCGGGCC
RNAcentral lists this unclassified non-coding RNA (300 nucleotides) under Lecanoromycetes sp. RNAcentral describes it as "partial contains small subunit ribosomal RNA and internal transcribed spacer 1". Lineage: Eukaryota; Fungi; Ascomycota; Lecanoromycetes. The record is from RNAcentral.